CCUACGGGAGACAGCAGUGAGGAAUAUUGGUCAAUGGUCGCGAGCCUGAACCAGCCAAGUAGCGUGAAGGAUGACUGCCCUACGGGUUGUAAACUUCUUUUAUAAAGGAAUAAAGUGAGGCACGUGUGCCCUUUUGUAUGUACUUUAUGAAUAAGGAUCGGCUAACUCCGUGCCAGCAGCCGCGGUAAUACGGAGGAACCGAGCGUUAUCCGGAUUUCUUGGGUUUAAAGGGAGCGUAGAUGGGUUGUUAAGUCAGUUGUGAAAGUUUGCGGCUCAACCGUAAAAUUGCAGUUGAUACUGGCAGUCUUGAGUACAGGUGAGGUAGGCGGAAUUCGUGGUGUAGCGGUGAAAUGCUUAGAUAUCACGAAGAACUCCGAUUGCGAAGGCAGCUUACUAAACUGCCACUGACAUUGAUGCUCGAAAGUGUGGGUAUCAAACAGGAUUAGAUACCCUUGUAGUC
RNAcentral lists this ribosomal RNA (460 nucleotides) under uncultured bacterium. RNAcentral's name for it is "partial 16S ribosomal RNA". It matches the Rfam family "Bacterial small subunit ribosomal RNA", at positions 338 to 795 of the family's 1533-position model. The record is from RNAcentral.